UGUUAUUUAAAAUGUAAAUAUAAAAAAAAUAGAGUAGUAAUAGAUAUGUUCUUAAAACUUAAUAAAUUUGGCGGUAUUUUAAUCUUUUCAGAGGAACUUGUUUUAUAAUUGAUAAUCCUCACUAUAUCUUACUUAAUUUUGUUUAAUUUGUAUACCAUCGUCAUAAGAAUCUCUUAAAAAAGAAAAAAUUUUCAAAAUUAUAAAUUAAUAAAAAUGUCAGAUCAAGGUGCAGUUUAUGGUUAAGAAAAAAUGAGUUACAAUAAAAUUAUUUAUACGAAUUUAAAUUUUAAAAAAUUUAAUGAAGGUGGAUUUGAUAGUAAAAUAAAAUAUAGAAUUUAUUUGAUUUUAGUUCUAAAAUAUGCACAAAUCGCCCG
RNAcentral lists this ribosomal RNA (374 nucleotides) under Macrobrachius kowarzii. RNAcentral describes it as "partial 12S ribosomal RNA". The record is from RNAcentral. Lineage: Eukaryota; Metazoa; Arthropoda; Insecta; Diptera; Mycetophilidae.